UACGGUCAUAUUACUUUGAAACACCGGAUGUCCUAUGGUCACCGUAGUUAAGCAACGCCGGGCAAGGUCAGCACCUAGAUGGGUGCCGUCUUGGGAAUACUAGGUGCUGCAAG
This is a non-coding RNA of Acanthosepion pharaonis, 113 nucleotides long. The record is from the annotation of a GenBank genome assembly. Lineage: Eukaryota; Metazoa; Mollusca; Cephalopoda; Sepiida; Sepiidae.